RNAcentral lists this ribosomal RNA (253 nucleotides) under uncultured bacterium. Its description in RNAcentral is "partial 16S ribosomal RNA". It matches the Rfam family "Bacterial small subunit ribosomal RNA", at positions 524 to 776 of the family's 1533-position model. The record is from RNAcentral.
UACAGAGGGGGCAAGCGUUGUCCGGAUUGACUGGGCGUAAAGCGCACGUAGGUGGCCUGGCCAGUGGGGUGUGAAAGCCGUCGGCUUAACCGACGGAGGCCAUCCCAAACUGCCUGGCUCGAGCCGUGCAGAGGUCCGUGGAAUUGCCGGUGUAGUGGUGAAAUGCGUAGAGAUCGGCAGGAACACCAAGGGGGAAGCCAGCGGACUGGGCACGUGCUGACACUGAGGUGCGACAGCGUGGGGAGCGAACCGG